UGGGGAAUAUUGCACAAUGGGCGCAAGCCUGAUGCAGCCAUGCCGCGUGUAUGAAGAAGGCCUUCGGGUUGUAAAGUACUUUCAGUCGGGAGGAAGGUGGUAAGGUUAAUAACCUUAUCAAUUGACGUUACCGACAGAAGAAGCACCGGCUAACUCCGUGCCAGCAGCCGCGGUAAUACGGAGGGUGCAAGCGUUAAUCGGAAUUACUGGGCGUAAAGCGCACGCAGGCGGUUUGUUAAGUCAGAUGUGAAAUCCCCGGGCUCAACCUGGGAACUGCAUCUGAUACUGGCAAGCUUGAGUCUCGGAGAGGGGGGUAGAAUUCCAGGUGUAGCGGUGAAAUGCGUAGAGAUCUGGAGGGAUACCGGUGGCGAAGGCGGCCCCCUGGACGAAGACUGACGCUCAGGUGCGAAAGCGUGGGGAGCAAACAGG
This 429-nucleotide ribosomal RNA is filed under the name Chloroflexota bacterium. Its description in RNAcentral is "Chloroflexi bacterium partial 16S ribosomal RNA". It matches the Rfam family "Bacterial small subunit ribosomal RNA", at positions 355 to 776 of the family's 1533-position model. Lineage: Bacteria; Bacillati; Chloroflexota. The record is from RNAcentral.